This 254-nucleotide ribosomal RNA is filed under the name uncultured prokaryote. RNAcentral describes it as "partial 16S ribosomal RNA". It matches the Rfam family "Bacterial small subunit ribosomal RNA", at positions 524 to 777 of the family's 1533-position model. The record is from RNAcentral.
UACGGAUGAUGCGAGCGUUAUCCGGAUUUAUUGGGUUUAAAGGGUGCGUAGGCGGAUUAAUAAGUCAGUGGUGAAAUCCUGCAGCUUAACUGUGGCACUGCCGUUGAUACUGUUAGUCUUGAGUAUGGUCAAGGUAGGCGGAAUGUGUAAUGUAGCGGUGAAAUGCUUAGAUAUUACACAGAACACCGAUUGCGAAGGCAGCUUACUGGGCCGUUACUGACGCUGAUGCACGAAAGCGUGGGGAUCGAACAGGA